Molecule: long non-coding RNA, 968 nt
Organism: Carassius auratus (goldfish)
Lineage: Eukaryota; Metazoa; Chordata; Actinopteri; Cypriniformes; Cyprinidae
Exons: 3
Source: RefSeq, a predicted model, not a curated record
ACAUGUGGGGUCAAUAUGUGCAAUGCAAAAUUGUGUGUGUUGUGUGUGUGUGUGUGUGUGUGUGUGUGAUGUCCCAUGUCCCCACCCAAUUUUUGGUCAUCCAUAGCCUACCCCUCCUUCUGUUGUGCCCUCUCCUCCCCUUUCUCUUGUCUGUAUAAAGAGGGGGUGAAGCUACAUUGUCUUGACUGGACAUUCACACUCAUCAGGUUAUCUAUCCAUCCGAGGAGAGCGAAGAAAGAGUGAAUAUCGCCAUCUGAAACUCUGGAAAAGUUGGAGAGCCUGAGAACUGACUUGAGCUGCGUGCGCAUCCACUAUCACGGCAUCCUACACGAGCCCCGAGAGAAAUACCGAGAACGACAGACACGUAAAGGGAUUUUAUCUGCAUAUCAACAGAGUUUGCUUUCGGAGUUACCGGAGACAUCGGAGGAGCGGACCGAGCCUCACACAGCAUCAGCAUGAGAUUCUUCCAUCCACUGUAUCUCCUUCUGCUGCUGCUGACAAUCCUGUACAUCACCAGCGCAGAGAAACAAGAUUUUCUCAACCUAAGGCGGAAAUAUCGCAAACAGAACUGUCCAAAGAAGCGCUGUCUACCUCUUCACUCCAGAGUGCCAUUCCCUUGAGGUUUCACAAUGAUCCUUAAUGAUGUCUUGUUGAGCGUUAAGAAAACCAAAGACAGCAUUGGGAAAAGAGAGAAGAGUUUUGUAUCUGACUCACUGAGGACUGUUCCGUAACCAAGCCAUGCUAGUCACUGCAGUAAAGGCAGUGUAUUGUUUUAUGAAUGUUAGUGAACAAGCCAUGGGGACAUUCACUGCAACCAAACAUGCUGAAAACUCAUCGCUCAAUCAGUUUGAGUUUGCCAGGAUCAUUGUAAAUAGUAAGAACAGGAUGAAAUGUGUUUAUAUGUAAUUUAUGCACUUUAAAUCUUUUAUUAUUAUCUUGAUUAAAUAAAAAAAAAUAUUGUCUUUUCA